Alosa alosa (allis shad) is the source of this 936-nucleotide long non-coding RNA. RefSeq lists it as uncharacterized. The record is from RefSeq and is a predicted model, not a curated record. NCBI's taxonomy places the organism in Eukaryota, Metazoa, Chordata, Actinopteri, Clupeiformes, Clupeidae. The transcript has 3 exons.
ACCGCUUUUGUAUCGAAUGAUGUCUUCGUUUAAUAAAUGUCCUGAAAAGGAUUCAAAUUUCAGAGCUGCAAUCACCAGUAACGUUCCAAGCCUGCGGCUAUCAGCUUUGUCAGUAUGAAAAUGUGGAGGGUGACCAACAAGCUUAGACUUGUAUCUUAUUUGAAUGCUGUGAUUAUCCAGCGCAGUUUUGGCUCCCCGGGGAGGAAGGUGUGUAGCCAAUUCUGUGCGCGCACAUGUGCACAAGUGUUUGUGGCAUAGAAAGUCUAUCAUGUUGCCAGUUGUUUGUAUUUCAGAGCACCUAAUUAUAUCAUGGGAGAUGGAGACCAGUGCCUGCUCGGGAUGGAUUGGAUUGGCAGGCCGGAGACGCUCAUAAUGGGAUGUGACUGAUCUCUGGGUGAAUGGAAGAUGAAACGUUGACGGUCUCUUAGGUGCCAAGCCCUCUCCUUGAUACUGGGAGACUUGAAGAUGCAGUCUGCAGUUUCAUUUUUGGUUUUGAUUUUCUGCGUUUGAUGAUCUCCAGACUGCAGCUGGCCAGAGGGUUCACAGCAGACAGGGGAUGGACUCUCUCCAUACUCAACCACUAUCUUGGGCCUUCACACAGAUUUCCCCCCAACUGGCCCCUGUUCAUCAUAAUGUGUUACCAAGGAACUAAUUUUGUGGAAAAAAAUGAUUCUAGGACUCAAAAUGGGCUCCUGUUCAUCAUAAUGUGUUACCAGGAACUAAUUUUGUGGAAAAAAAAUGAUUCUAGGACUCAAAAUUGAGAGUUUCAAGUUUCAAAUUCCUGUGUGUGUGUGUGUGUGUGUGUGUGUGACUCGUUUCCUCUUCUGUGCAUCACUUUGGAUAAAAGCUACUAAUUACAAUAGUACAGUGUGAUUAUGCUACAAAUUCCUUGAAGAGGCAGGGCAUUAAAAGUGGCAAUUUAAUGAGAUCCAUUAG